GGCGAUUGCUCAGUAUGGAGAGCACCUGCCUUCAGCAGGGUGUCACUGGUUCGAGCCCGGUAUCGCCACCA
RNAcentral lists this transfer RNA (71 nucleotides) under Vibrio parahaemolyticus NIHCB0603. RNAcentral describes it as "tRNA-Glu". It matches the Rfam family "tRNA". Rfam says of the family: Transfer RNA (tRNA) molecules are approximately 80 nucleotides in length. Their secondary structure includes four short double-helical elements and three loops (D, anti-codon, and T loops). Lineage: Bacteria; Pseudomonadati; Pseudomonadota; Gammaproteobacteria; Vibrionales; Vibrionaceae. The record is from RNAcentral.